This 246-nucleotide ribosomal RNA is filed under the name uncultured bacterium. RNAcentral describes it as "partial 16S ribosomal RNA". It matches the Rfam family "Bacterial small subunit ribosomal RNA", at positions 109 to 354 of the family's 1533-position model. The record is from RNAcentral.
AGUAACGCGUGAGGAACCUGCCUUCCAGAGGGGGACGAACAGUUGGAAACGACUGCUAAUACCGCAUGAUACGUUGGAGCCGCAUGACUCCGACGUCAAAGAUUUAUCGCUGGAAGAUGGCCUCGCGUCUGAUUAGCUAGUUGGUGAGGUAACGGCCCACCAAGGCGACGAUCAGUAGCCGGACUGAGAGGUUGGCCGGCCACAUUGGGACUGAGAUACGGCCCAGACUCCUACGGGAGGCAGCAG